AAAUGUGAUGUGUAUAGUUUUGGAGGUGCUAGCACUAGAAGUUGAUGUGAUCUGAUCUGUUCUGCUUCACCCAAUUCAAGAAUCUCUCUCUACUAUAUAUGAUUAAGCCUUUUUCUGGGAUUAUGAAUGUUCCAAUUCGAUCUGCAAAAACCACACCAACGCUUCUCAUGCAUGCAUGCCUUGGAUUCAUUCUUAGCUUGGAAUAGAUCAGAUCCAGCAUUCUUUUUGAAGUCAACAAUUAUGGCAUCAACAAAUUUUGAUCGGUGGCAUACACAUUAUUUAUCACAUUCUAACAAGCAAUCAACUCGGUGAUGAAUAAGUGGAGAAGCUAGCUUACGAUUCUUGUUGCUUUCGCGCACAAAUUUUGCUCCUCCGGUUUUGGAGGAAGGUGUCUUCGGGGAGGCUUAAAUUUAACUGUGAUAGAUGUUUCUUUUUCGUUGUAUGGUGGUGUUGGGGGUGCUUGCCUUCUUGAUUCUGCAAAGAAAGGCAAUAUUAUUCCUCUAAUUUACUUUCACAGAUCACAAUAAGCCAAUUGUUUGGUCUUGAAUUUCCUACUCCCUAGAGGGUAGUAGGAAAUGUCAGGGUAUGUAUGUGAAGAGUUUAGUACUAUAAAUUAAUUUUGAUGUAGAGCUAGCGAGCAGCUUUAAUUAUAUUUAUUAUAUAUUGUGGUAGAUAGCUUCAAAUUUCUUCAGUAUUACUAGUUAAUACA
Molecule: long non-coding RNA, 709 nt
Organism: Ipomoea nil (Japanese morning glory)
Lineage: Eukaryota; Viridiplantae; Streptophyta; Magnoliopsida; Solanales; Convolvulaceae
Exons: 4
Source: RefSeq, a predicted model, not a curated record